GAUCAAGUGUCUUAAGGGCAUUUGGUGGAU
Molecule: ribosomal RNA, 30 nt
Filed under: Brucella anthropi
Lineage: Bacteria; Pseudomonadati; Pseudomonadota; Alphaproteobacteria; Hyphomicrobiales; Brucellaceae
Description: Ochrobactrum anthropi partial 23S ribosomal RNA
Source: RNAcentral